Long non-coding RNA from Stegodyphus dumicola, 385 nucleotides. NCBI's taxonomy places the organism in Eukaryota, Metazoa, Arthropoda, Arachnida, Araneae, Eresidae. The record is from RefSeq and is a predicted model, not a curated record.
UUCGUAACUUGUUUAUGGUCCGUGAUUCGUGCAUGGCGAGUUUGUAUCAAAGAAUAUCUAUACAUAGACAUACAUAGAAUACAUAGACGUUCUUUGCUUGUACUGCCUUGUUUCGUAAGUUGAGUGCAUUAGAUGUAGACUGAUUUUGACAAAAUGUCAGAAUAUGCAUCUGUGACAAAGACUCCUCUGAAACUGAAAACAGAUUCUGGAAUAAAGAAAAAAAAGAAAAACAAGGAUAAAAAACAAAUACUGGACAAAAUUGCAAAAGUUGAAAAAACUACUGGUGCCGAAAAUAUUGAAAAGAAGAAAAACGAAUCUGUGCCUUUGACAAAAGCAGAGAGAGCAUUUAUGCUGAUGAAAGAAAAGAAGGUAAAUUUUCUUCAAC